GACGAACGCUGGCGGCGUGCUUAACACAUGCAAGUCGAACGGAAAGGCCUCUUUCGGGGGGUACUCGAGUGGCGAACGGGUGAGUAACACGUGAGUAACCUGCCCUUGACUUUGGGAUAACUUCAGGAGACUGGGGCUAUUACCGGAUAGGAGCUCCUGCUGCCUGGUGGGGGCUGGAAAGUUUCGGCGGUUGGGGAUGGACUCGCGGCUUAUCCGCUUGUUGGUGGGGUAGUGGUUUACCAAGGCUUUGACGGGUAGCCGGCCUGUGAGGGUGACCGGCCACAUUGGGACUGAGAUACGGCCCAGACUCCUACGGGAGGCAGCAGUGGGGAAUAUUGCACAAUGGGUGGAAGCCUGAUGCAGCAACGCCGUGUGCGGGAUGACGGCCUUCGGGUUGUAAACCGCUUUCGCUCAUGACGAAGCUUUGUGUGACGGUAGUGGGUAAAGAAGCACCGGCUAACUACGUG
Molecule: ribosomal RNA, 467 nt
Filed under: uncultured bacterium
Lineage: Bacteria
Description: partial 16S ribosomal RNA
Rfam family: Bacterial small subunit ribosomal RNA
Source: RNAcentral